UGGGUUGGAAUAGUUCUGUGGGCAUAGUGUGUCUUCGAAGCCACUAUGUUUUCUGCACUUGUGACUAGAGAGCACCUUGAUAGCUCAGUUGGUAGAGCGGUGGACUGUAAGAUGCUCCUUGUGUGAAACGCUGUGAACCUAAGGUCGCUGGUUCAACUCCAUCUCCAAGCACCUCCUUGUCAUUGGAAAUACCCCCAAGCCUUGUCUUUAUCUGUCAACUCCUCCAAAAUGUCAAAACACAAACAAGAUAACUCUUUCUUAAAUUUUCAACCAUCAAUUUUUUAUUCACCCAGCCUAAAAGUCCUGAUUAUCAGUUCUGGGUCCCUGGCAAUGACUGUUUGGUACAAACUGCAAAGCUUUGUUCUGCAGGUAGGGCUGGGCUUUUCAUUGACCAUGGGUUGGAAUAGUUCUGUGGGCAUAGUGUGUCUUCGAAGCCACUAUGUUUUCUGCACUUGUGACUAUAGAGCACUUUGAUAGCUCAGUUGGUAGAGCGGUGGACUGUAAGUUGCUCCUUGUGUGAAACGCUGUGAUCCUAAGGUCGCUGGUUCAACUCCAGCUCCAAGCACGUCAUUGGAAAUACCCCCAAGCCUUGUCUUUAUCUGUCAACUCCUCCAAAAUGUCAAAACACAAACAAGAUAACUCUUUCUUAAAUUUUCAACCAUCAAUUUUUUAUUCACCCAGCCUAAAAGUCCUGAUUAUCAGUUCUGGGUCCCUGGCAAUGACUGUUGGGUACAAACUGCAAAGCUUUGUUCUGCAGGUAGGGCUGGGCUUUUCAUUGACCAUGGGUUGGAAUAGUUCUGUGGGCAUAGUGUGUCUUCGAAGCCACUAUGUUUUCUGCACUUGUGACUAGAGAGCACCUUGAUAGCUCAGUUGGUAGAGCGGUGGACUGUAAGUUGCUCCUUGUGUCAAACGCUGUGAUCCUAAGGUCGCUGGUUCAACUCCAGCUCCAAGCACGUCAUUGGAAAUACCCCCAAGCCUUGUCUUUAUCUGUCAACUCCUCCAAAAUGUCAAAACACAAACAAGAUAACUCUUUCUUAAAUUUUCAACCAUCAAUUUUUUAUUCACCCAGCCUAAAAGUCCUGAUUAUCAGUUCUGGGUCCCUGGCAAUGACUGUUGGGUACAAACUGCAAAGCUUUGUUCUGCAGGUAGGGCUGGGCUUUUCAUUGACCAUGGGUUGGAAUAGUUCUGUGGGCAUAGUGUGUCUUCGAAGCCACUAUGUUUUCUGCACUUGUGACUAUUGAGCACCUUGAUAGCUCAGUUGGUAGAGCGGUGGACUGUAAGAUGCUCCUUGUGUGAAACGCUGUGAUCCUAAGGUCGCUGGUUCAACUCCAGCUCCAAGCACCUCCUUGUCAUUGGAAAUACCCCCAGGCCUUGUCUUUAUCUGUCAACUCCUCCAAAAUGUCAAAACACAAACAAGAUAACUCUUUCUUAAAUUUUCAACCAUCAAUUUUUUAUUCACCCAGCCUAAAAGUCCUGAUUAUCCGUUCUGGGUCCCUGGCAAUGACUGUUGGGUACAAACUGCAAAGCUUUGUUCUGCAGGUAGGGCUGGGCUUUUCAUUGACCAUGGGUUGGAAUAGUUCUGUGGGCAUAGUGUGUCUUAGAAGCCACUAUGUUUUCUGCACUUGUGACUAUAGAGCACCUUGAUAGCUCAGUUGGUAGAGCGGUGGACUGCAAGAGGCUCCUUGUGUGAAACGCUGUGAUCCUAAAGGUCGCUGGUUCAACUCCAGCUCCAAGCACGUCAUUGGAAAUACCCCCAAGCCUUGUCUUUAUCUGUCAACUCCUCCAAAAUGUCAAAACACAAACAAGAUAACUCUUUCUUAAAUUUUCAACCAUCAAUUUUUUAUUCACCCAGCCUAAAAGUCCUGAUUAUCAGUUCUGGGUCCCUGGCAAUGACUGUUGGGUACAAACUGCAAAGCUUUGUUCUGCAGGUAGGGCUGGGCUUUUCAUUGACCAUGGGUUGGAAUAGUUCUGUGGGCAUAGUGUGUCUUCGAAGCCACUAUGUUUUCUGCACUUGUGACUAUUGAGCACCUUGAUAGCUCAGUUGGUAGAGCGGUGGACUGUAAGAUGCUCCUUGUGUGAAACGCUGUGAUCCUAAGGUCGCUGGUUCAACUCCAGCUCCAAGCACCUCCUUGUCAUUGGAAAUACCCCCAGGCCUUGUCUUUAUCUGUCAACUCCUCCAAAAUGUCAAAACACAAACAAGAUAACUCUUUCUUAAAUUUUCAACCAUCAAUUUUUUAUUCACCCAGCCUAAAAGUCCUGAUUAUCCGUUCUGGGUCCCUGGCAAUGACUGUUGGGUACAAACUGCAAAGCUUUGUUCUGCAGGUAGGGCUGGGCUUUUCAUUGACCAUGGGUUGGAAUAGUUCUGUGGGCAUAGUGUGUCUUAGAAGCCACUAUGUUUUCUGCACUUGUGACUAUAGAGCACCUUGAUAGCUCAGUUGGCAGAGCGGUGGACUGCAAGAGGCUCCUUGUGUGAAACGCUGUGAUCCUAAGGUUGCUGGUUCAACUCCAGCUCCAACCACCUCCUUGUCAUUGGAAAUACCCCCAAGCCUUGUCUUUAUCUGUCAACUCCUCCAAAAUGUCAAAACACAAACAAGAUAACUCUUUCUUAAAUUUUCAACCAUCAAUUUUUUAUUCACCCAGCCUAAAAGUCCUGAUUAUCAGUUCUGGGUCCCUGGCAAUGACUGUUGGGUACAAACUGCAAAGCUUUGUUCUGCAGGUAGGGCUGGGCUUUUCAUUGACCAUGGGUUGGAAUAGUUCUGUGGGCAUAGUGUGUCUUCGAAGCCACUAUGUUUUCUGCACUUGUGACUAGAGAGCACCUUGAUAGCUCAGUUGGUAGAGCGGUGGACUGUAAGAUGCUCCUUGUGUGAAACGCUGUGAUCCUAAGGUCGCUGGUUCAACUCCAGCUCCAAGCACUUCCUUGUCAUUGGAAAUACCCCCAAGCCUUGUCUUUAUCUGUCAACUCCUCCAAAAUGUCAAAACACAAACAAGAUAACUCUUUCUUAAAUUUUCAACCAUCAAUUUUUUAUUCACCCAGCCUAAAAGUCCUGAUUAUCAGUUCUGGGUCCCUGGCAAUGACUGUUGGGUACAAACUGCAAAGCUUUGUUCUGCAGGUAGGGCUGGGCUUUUCAUUGACCAUGGGUUGGAAUAGUUCUGUGGGCAUAGUGUGUCUUCGAAGCCACUAUGUUUUCUGCACUUGUGACUAGAGAGCACCUUGAUAGCUCGGUUGGUAGAGCGGUGGACUGUAAGAUGCUCCUUGUGUGAAACGCUGUGAUCCUAAGGUC
Molecule: non-coding RNA, 3281 nt
Organism: Xyrichtys novacula (pearly razorfish)
Lineage: Eukaryota; Metazoa; Chordata; Actinopteri; Labriformes; Labridae
Source: the annotation of a GenBank genome assembly